GGGCCCGUAGUCUAGUGGCAGGACGGUGGGCUCCAGACCCAUUGACGGGGGUUCGAAUCCCCCCGGGCCCA
Candidatus Nanopusillus sp. is the source of this 71-nucleotide transfer RNA. It matches the Rfam family "tRNA". Rfam says of the family: Transfer RNA (tRNA) molecules are approximately 80 nucleotides in length. NCBI's taxonomy places the organism in Archaea, Nanobdellati, Nanobdellota, Candidatus Nanoarchaeia, Nanoarchaeales, Nanopusillaceae. The record is from Rfam.